RNAcentral lists this ribosomal RNA (292 nucleotides) under uncultured bacterium. Its description in RNAcentral is "partial 16S ribosomal RNA". It matches the Rfam family "Bacterial small subunit ribosomal RNA", at positions 505 to 796 of the family's 1533-position model. The record is from RNAcentral.
GUUACAGCCGCCGCGGUAAGACGUAGGAGGCGAGCGUUAUCCGGAUUCACUGGGCGUAAAGCGCAUGUAGGCGGUUGUGUAAGUCCGAUGUUAAAGCCCCUGGCUCAACUGGGGGAGGUCAUUGGAGACUACUCGACUUGAGGGCAACAGAGGCACGUGGAACUCCCGGUGUAGCGGUGGAAUGCGUAGAGAUCGGGAAGAACACCAGUGGCGAAGGCGACGUGCUGGGUUGCAACUGACGCUGAGAUGCGAAAGUGUGGGGAGCAAACGGGAUUAGAUACCCGCGUAGUCC